Brassica oleracea var. oleracea is the source of this 2000-nucleotide long non-coding RNA. RefSeq lists it as uncharacterized. The record is from RefSeq and is a predicted model, not a curated record. The transcript has 9 exons. Lineage: Eukaryota; Viridiplantae; Streptophyta; Magnoliopsida; Brassicales; Brassicaceae.
UUUUUUUCUGAGUACGCUUCCUUUUUGUCGUUGAAGCAAAGAAAAAUUGUCAUCUUCUCUGUUCAUCUCUUUACCACGGUGAUGCUUUUUAUCCGAGAUCAAGUCAUGGAGAGAUUUUUUAUGAGGAAAGCGAGGAUUCAAUCUCUUUGUCUCAGCUAACCUUAAAAUACUUAAGUGAUUCAAAGAUCGUUGUAGAUUGGAGACUCUGUAGCUUGAAACAUGCAACCAGCAAUGAAAGCAGAGGCUGAUGAAUCAGUGAGGAUGAAUGGAAUUGUUUGUUCAAGAUGGACGUCUCAAAUAAUAUACCGUUCGUGAUGAAACAAAAACUCGAAAUUUUGAAUCCAGUGAAUCAGAAUUGAGGAUCUCUAAGGUUUUCCAUGUCCUCACAGUUGGUAUUUAAUCACCUUGCAGAGAUCAACGGAGCAAAUGAUGAAUCUUUCUAUUAGGCAGAUGAUACAAAGAGAUAAAGUUCCCAAAUUUUACUAUGGUAUGUACGCAUAGGAGGUAACAAAUACACUGUCAUGUAUUAUUCUUCUUUCUCAAUUCAUUGUGUAUGGUGGUUUGUAAAUAAUAUAUAUGUUUUAUUUGAUUUGCAUGAUUUCAAACGUUUUGGAGUACGAAGACCAGACUCCUAUUCUGAUGGAGGGUACGAACAAGAUAUCAGCUCAAUCUAGGGUUUUCGACUGAAAACUCUAGAGACCUGCUUCUUGAAGAAGAUGAAUUUAAUCGAAUCUCUUCCAAGGCUUUUCGAGCAAGAUGAAUUGAAUCAAAUCUCUAUCAAGCUUGGUCUACAAGGAUGCACUCAAAAGUAUCUCCUCCAAAACUGGUGCUUUGUUUCCAAGAAUGAAUCAGUUUGAGAGUCAGACGUCAUUCCUCUCGGAUGAAGGAAAGAAAAAAAAAAGGUGCAAGGUAAAGAUCGGCAAUUGUGCAGAGCACUGUAUCACAGCUAGGAUUGGAUGGAUCGUUCAUUCCACGAACCUAUAUUGAACAGAUCCAACUUGAAAAAUUGAUAAAUGAACUAAUGAAGUAAUGGCCCUACCAGAUGAUUUGAACACCCUUACGAGCGUCUGCAGAUAGAGUGGCCAUGAGAAACAAGAACCUCAGAAGGUACACUUCCUUUGAGGGAGUGUAUGAGAAAACAUUGUUAAGCAUGAUUAUUGGGGGGUCCUUAGGGUGAGGUUCUUAGCCGAAUAUAAGAACCUCACCCCCAAUUAAACAUGCUCUUACAAUCCAUGUGUACUAAACUACUAAAGUAUGAUACACAGAGGUAUGUCACAUUCAUAUUCAACGCAAAGAGACAAGAAUCUGUCCAGGCUUGCUGAUUAUUCUUCAAGCGAUAUGAGGUACGAAGAAAACAAUCACGACUCACAAGCCAAAGAGGGGUUUAUGACUCAGCUUUCGGAACAAAUAUCAUCACUCAAUGAGAGAAUGGAGGAGUUCACAAACCGGAUUGAAGAGCUAAACUCAAAGUUGAGCUGCAACAGAAACUCUCCAAGCUGAAGUCUGCAAUGGCUCAGCUCCAACUUCAUAUUUCAUUUCUGGUCUAGACAAUGGCUGUUUGACAAAUUCUAUAAUGCUUCGUUCAUCCUCAUCCUCCCAAUUAGCCAAGGAUAUUAUGCCAUUAAUGGAAGAGAUAUUGACUCUCUCACGUGGACAGCGUCAAGUGAUGCAUCAAUUGGAUAAUCUGUGCAGUCUGAUUAGAGAAAGCUCAUCAGAAGAAAGGUCACGCCUAACGAGAAUGGGAAGCAGUAAUAGCGGCAAUGCGGAAUCUAGUAGACUGCCUCUCGUGUUAACAUUGGCUCUUCGUGUUUAGGAGCUACUACGUUAACAAGCGGCAAUAACAUUUAUAAGACUAUAAGCACUUUGUUUCUCGUCUCUUUUUUUUGGGUAUUUUUUUCUCACUGGAGGCGUUUUGUGAGCUUCCAUGGUUUAUUACUACGUAGACUAUUACACUCAUUCUCUUCUCCUAUUCUCGAUUAAUUUUAUUCAAUAAAGCUCAG